RNAcentral lists this ribosomal RNA (700 nucleotides) under uncultured Alphaproteobacteria bacterium. Its description in RNAcentral is "bacterial SSU rRNA". It matches the Rfam family "Bacterial small subunit ribosomal RNA", at positions 94 to 829 of the family's 1533-position model. Lineage: Bacteria; Pseudomonadati; Pseudomonadota; Alphaproteobacteria. The record is from RNAcentral.
AGCGGCGGACGGGUGAGUAACGCGUGGGAACGUACCCUCUUCUGCGGGAUAGCCACUGGAAACGGUGAGUAAUACCGCAUACGCCCUUCGGGGGAAAGAUUUAUCGGAGGAGGAUCGGCCCGCGUUGGAUUAGGUAGUUGGUGGGGUAAUGGCCUACCAAGCCUACGAUCCAUAGCUGGUUUUAGAGGAUGAUCAGCCACACUGGGACUGAGACACGGCCCAGACUCCUACGGGAGGCAGCAGUGGGGAAUCUUAGACAAUGGGCGCAAGCCUGAUCUAGCCAUGCCGCGUGAGUGACGAAGGCCUUAGGGUCGUAAAGCUCUUUCGCCAGAGAUGAUAAUGACAGUAUCUGGUAAAGAAACCCCGGCUAACUCCGUGCCAGCAGCCGCGGUAAUACGGAGGGGGUUAGCGUUGUUCGGAAUUACUGGGCGUAAAGCGCACGUAGGCGGAUUGGAAAGUUGGGGGUGAAAUCCCAGGGCUCAACCCUGGAACGGCCUCCAAAACUCCCAGUCUGGAGUUCGAGAGAGGUGAGUGGAAUUCCGAGUGUAGAGGUGAAAUUCGUAGAUAUUCGGAGGAACACCAGUGGCGAAGGCGGCUCACUGGCUCGAUACUGACGCUGAGGUGCGAAAGUGUGGGGAGCAAACAGGAUUAGAUACCCUGGUAGUCCACACCGUAAACGAUGAAUGCCAGUCGUCGGCAA